Molecule: long non-coding RNA, 355 nt
Organism: Octopus sinensis (East Asian common octopus)
Lineage: Eukaryota; Metazoa; Mollusca; Cephalopoda; Octopoda; Octopodidae
Exons: 3
Source: RefSeq, a predicted model, not a curated record
UAACUGCUAAUGAUACAAUUAAAUAUUAAACCUGAGUGAUGUUUUUUUGUUUGCUUAUGCUAUUUUACGUUCAAUUCCUAAUAAGUUAGGGGGUGUAGUUAGUUCGGGUAUAUCUAUUGUUGUGUUUUUUGUUUGUCCUCUUUUACAUAUUAGAGGGUGUAUAGGGUUAAGUUAUAAUUUUCUAGGACAAUUUUGUUUUUGAUUUUUAGUUGGUGUAUUUUUUAUUUUAACUUGAGUUGUCAUGUAGUGUAUCCAUAUGAAAUACUUGGUCGAAUUUUUAGAGUUAUAUAUUUUGCUUGUUUUUUAGUUCGACCUAUUUUAGAUAUGGUAUGAAUAUAUAUAUAUUAGAUUAUUA